RNAcentral lists this ribosomal RNA (1064 nucleotides) under Chimerella sp. JMG-2013. Its description in RNAcentral is "partial 16S ribosomal RNA". It matches the Rfam family "Bacterial large subunit ribosomal RNA", at positions 853 to 2597 of the family's 2925-position model. The record is from RNAcentral. Lineage: Eukaryota; Metazoa; Chordata; Amphibia; Anura; Centrolenidae.
ACUCAAGAAAAGAAUUUAAGUUCAGCCUAAAAUUAACUAAGUGCAUCAAAACAACAACCCUAAUUUUAGAGUAAUUCAAAUAAGGUACAGCCUAUUUGAAAAAGGACACAACCUCGACCAUCGGGUAAUUUAAACCAACGCCUAACAAAGUGGGCCUAAGAGCAGCCAUCUUUCAAAAAGCGUCAAAGCUUAAUUAAGCAAUCAAUUAAUACCAAUAUUACCUAAGAACCCUUAAUCAAUACUGAGUAAUUCUAUACUACUAUAGAAGAUUUUAUGUUAAAACUAGUAACAAGAAGAAGAACUUCUCUUACAAUGCAAGUGUAAAUCAGACAGGACAACCCACUGAUAAUUAACACCAAUGAAUAAAAAGUAGUAACUAAACAAGAAAACCCUACUAUACCCCUAUGUUAACCUAACACCAGAGCAUUUCAAGAAAGAUUAAAAGAAAAAGAAGGAACUCGGCAAAUAUUAACCUCGCCUGUUUACCAAAAACAUCGCCUCUUGAGCAAAUAUAAGAGGUCCAGCCUGCCCAGUGACUCUGUUCAACGGCCGCGGUAUCCUAACCGUGCGAAGGUAGCGUAAUCACUUGUUCUUUAAAUGAGGACUAGUAUGAAUGGCACCACGAAGGUUAUACUGUCUCCUCUUUCUAAUCAGUGAAACUAAUCUCCCCGUGAAGAAGCGGGGAUAAACAUAUAAGACGAGAAGACCCUAUGGAGCUUUAAACUAAGUAACACUUGCACUAACUUUGAGUAAAUUUCAGAAAAAUCUCCAUUACCCCUGCAAGAUGAUUAAUAGUUUUAGGUUGGGGUGACCGCGGAGCAAAACAUAACCUCCACAUUGAAAGGAACCCACUCCUUAGCCAAGAGCUACACCUCCACGCAUCAAUAUAGUGACAUUAAUUGACCCAAUAUUUUGAUCAACGAACCAAGUUACCCUAGGGAUAACAGCGCAAUCCACUUCAAGAGCCCCUAUCGACAAGUGGGUUUACGACCUCGAUGUUGGAUCAGGGUAUCCCGGUGGUGCAGCCGCUACCAAAGGUUCGUUUGUUCAACGAUUAAAACCCU